GCGGCAAAAGCUCAAAUUUGAAAUCUGGUACCUUCGGUGCCCGAGUUGUAAUUUGGAGAGGGCAACUUUGGGGCCGUUCCUUGUCUAUGUUCCUUGGAACAGGACGUCAUAGAGGGUGAGAAUCCCGUGUGGCGAGGAGUGCGGUUCUUUGUAAAGUGCCUUCGAAGAGUCGAGUUGUUUGGGAAUGCAGCUCUAAGUGGGUGGUAAAUUCCAUCUAAAGCUAAAUAUUGGCGAGAGACCGAUAGCGAACAAGUACAGUGAUGGAAAGAUGAAAAGAACUUUGAAAAGAGAGUGAAAAAGUACGUGAAAUUGUUGAAAGGGAAGGGCAUUUGAUCAGACAUGGUGUUUUGUGCCCUCUGCUCCUUGUGGGUAGGGGAAUCUCGCAUUUCACUGGGCCAGCAUCAGUUUUGGUGGCAGGAUAAAUCCAUAGGAAUGUAGCUUGCCUCGGUAAGUAUUAUAGCCUGUGGGAAUACUGCCAGCUGGGACUGAGGACUGCGACGUAAGUCAAGGAUGCUGGCAUAAUGGUUAUAUGCCG
This 535-nucleotide ribosomal RNA is filed under the name Saccharomyces cerevisiae (brewer's yeast). RNAcentral describes it as "partial large subunit ribosomal RNA". It matches the Rfam family "Eukaryotic large subunit ribosomal RNA", at positions 98 to 647 of the family's 3401-position model. The record is from RNAcentral. Lineage: Eukaryota; Fungi; Ascomycota; Saccharomycetes; Saccharomycetales; Saccharomycetaceae.